This 433-nucleotide ribosomal RNA is filed under the name uncultured bacterium. Its description in RNAcentral is "partial 16S ribosomal RNA". It matches the Rfam family "Bacterial small subunit ribosomal RNA", at positions 29 to 507 of the family's 1533-position model. The record is from RNAcentral.
AACGAACGCUGGCGGCAUGCCUAACACAUGCAAGUCGAACGAGACCUUCGGGUCUAGUGGCGCACGGGUGCGUAACGCGUGGGAACCUGCCCUUAGGUUCGGAAUAACUCCCCGAAAGGGGUGCUAAUACCGGAUAAUGUCUUCGGACCAAAGAUUUAUCGCCUUUGGAUGGGCCCGCGUUGGAUUAGCUAGUUGGUAGGGUAAAAGCCUACCAAGGCGACGAUCCAUAGCUGGUCUGAGAGGAUGAUCAGCCACACUGGGACUGAGACACGGCCCAGACUCCUACGGGAGGCAGCAGUGGGGAAUAUUGGACACUGGGCGAAAGCCUGAUCCAGCAAUGCGGCGUGAGUGAUGAAGGCCUUAGGGUUGUAAAGCUCUUUUACCCGGGAUGAUAAUGACAGUACCGGGAGAAUAAGCUCCGGCUAACUCCGUG